RNAcentral lists this long non-coding RNA (616 nucleotides) under Gossypium raimondii (Peruvian cotton). RNAcentral describes it as "long non-coding RNA (GRAI_LNC006880)". Lineage: Eukaryota; Viridiplantae; Streptophyta; Magnoliopsida; Malvales; Malvaceae. The record is from RNAcentral.
CAGGAUGUUCAGGAUUGUCAAUUCCAGGCUACAAUAAUUGCCACAAACAAGACUAUAAGUAGGAGAACUUCACAUUAGAUUCUGUUGUCAUAUAGAGAAAUAAGUAGACAAGAACAUAGAAAUGGAAAUAGAAGGAAAAAUUAGCCUAGGAAUUAACAUCAGAAAUGUGUCGGUCUUGCAACACUUCAUCUCGUUUGCUACAACCUACACCAGAAAAUGAGAUUAUUUGAUCAAAGCAAGGAUAUGGGUAAAAGCAGAACUUUAGAACCAGCUAAUCACCAUAACUUUUUCCAUAGCAUCACUAAGUGCAUGCAGUCAUACUAGUAUUCAUUAAUUACAAAAGGUAGUACUAAAUUUAUCAGAUAAACUUUUAAGAAAAAGACACUGUAAGAUAGUCCACAAGACUUACAAAAGGUAGUACUAAAUUUAUCAGAUAAACUUAUAAGAAAAAGACACUGUAAGAUAGUCCACAAGACUUACAAAAGGUAGUACUAAAUUUAUCAUAUAAACUUAUAAGAAAAAGACACUGUAAGAUAGUCCACAAGACCCAUUCCUUUCCCCCUAUAAUACAGCAACUCACAAUUAGCUUUUGAAGUCCAAUUCAGGUCAAAUCCCC